GAUGAACGCUGGCGGCGUGCCUAAUACAUGCAAGUCGAGCGAACGGACGAGAAGCUUGCUUUUCUGAUGUUAGCGGCGGACGGGUGAGUAACACGUGGAUAACCUACUUAUAAGACUGGGAUAACUUCGGGAAACCGGAGCUAAUACCGGAUAAUAUUUUGAACCGCAUGGUUCAAUAGUGAAAGACGGUCUUGCUGUCACUUAUAGAUGGAUCCGCGCUGCAUUAGCUAGUUGGUAAGGUAACGGCUUACCAAGGCAACGAUGCAUAGCCGACCUGAGAGAGUGAUCGGCCACACUGGAACUGAGACACGGACAAGGCUCCUACGGGAGGCAGCAGUAGGGAAUCUUCCGCAAUGGGCGGAAGCCUGACAGAGCAACGCCGCGUGAGUGAUGAAGAUCUUCGGAUCGUAAAACUCUGUUAUUAGGGGAGAACAUAUGUGUAAGUAACUGUGCACAUCUUGACGGUACCUAGUCAGAAAGCCACGGCUAACUACGUG
This 497-nucleotide ribosomal RNA is filed under the name uncultured bacterium. RNAcentral's name for it is "partial 16S ribosomal RNA". It matches the Rfam family "Bacterial small subunit ribosomal RNA", at positions 28 to 507 of the family's 1533-position model. The record is from RNAcentral.